Long non-coding RNA from Exaiptasia diaphana, 294 nucleotides. RefSeq lists it as uncharacterized. The record is from RefSeq and is a predicted model, not a curated record. NCBI's taxonomy places the organism in Eukaryota, Metazoa, Cnidaria, Anthozoa, Actiniaria, Aiptasiidae. The transcript has 3 exons.
AAUGAAAUACAAUAUUAACGUUGGUAAAAUCUAUGUGAGUCAGUUGCUGUUCAACUACUGUUGAGAAUACAACACGGAACAAGAGGCGCUUAAAGACAUCAAGAUGAAGGAGUUCGUUACACUUUGUAUUUUGGCUCUCCUCGUCGUUGGAUCUCACUCAAAUACACCUUGUGAAGAUAUCGAUCCUAUGGUUUGCGGACUCCCAGGGGCACAGAAAUAUUGCAACAAUAAACCAUAUUUGAAACGUAAUUGUCCCGUACUUUGCGGAUUAUGCAAGAAAGGUAGGAAAAAGUG